ACCUGACGACGCAACGCCGCGUGGAGGAUGAAGACCUUCGGGUCGUAAACUCCUUUCGACCGAGAUGAAUUCCCGCCGACCUAACACGUCGGCGGGGUGACAGUAUCGAGGGAAGCAGCCCCGGCUAACUCCGUGCCAGCAGCCGCGGUAAUACGGGGGGGGCAAGCGUUGUUCGGAAUUACUGGGCGUAAAGGGUUCGUAGGUGGCCGGCUAAGUCAGACGUGAAAUCCCUCAGCUUAACUGGGGAACUGCGUCUGAGACUGGUCGGCUCGAGGGCAGGAGAGGAACGCGGAAUUCCAGGUGUAGCGGUGAAAUGCGUAGAUAUCUGGAGGAACACCGGUGGCGAAGGCGGCGUUCUGGACUGCAUCUGACACUGAGGAACGAAAGCCAGGGGAGCAAACGGGAUUAGAUACCCCGGUAGUCCUGGCCCUAAACGAUGAAUGCUUGGUGUGGCGGGUAUCGAUCCCUGCCGUGCCGCAGUUAACGCGUUAAGCAUUCCGCCUGGGGAGUACGGUCGCAAGGCUG
This 525-nucleotide ribosomal RNA is filed under the name uncultured Acidobacteriota bacterium. RNAcentral's name for it is "bacterial SSU rRNA". It matches the Rfam family "Bacterial small subunit ribosomal RNA", at positions 381 to 896 of the family's 1533-position model. The record is from RNAcentral. Lineage: Bacteria; Pseudomonadati; Acidobacteriota.